UACGGAGGAUCCGAGCGUUAUCCGGAUUCAUUGGGUUUAAAGGGUGCGUAGGUUGUUUUAUAAGUUAGCGGUGAAAUACCGAUGCUCAACAUCGGGGCUGCCGCUGAUACUGUAGGACUAGAGAUCGGAUGCAGCAGGCGGAAUGUGUAGUGUAGCGGUGAAAUGCAUAGAUAUUACACAGAACACCGAUUGCGAAGGCAGCUCACUGGACUGCAACUGACACUGAGGCUCGAAAGUGUGGGUAUCAAACAGG
This 253-nucleotide ribosomal RNA is filed under the name uncultured Rikenellaceae bacterium. RNAcentral describes it as "partial 16S ribosomal RNA". It matches the Rfam family "Bacterial small subunit ribosomal RNA", at positions 524 to 776 of the family's 1533-position model. Lineage: Bacteria; Pseudomonadati; Bacteroidota; Bacteroidia; Bacteroidales; Rikenellaceae. The record is from RNAcentral.